Molecule: transfer RNA, 64 nt
Filed under: Fukomys damarensis (Damara mole-rat)
Lineage: Eukaryota; Metazoa; Chordata; Mammalia; Rodentia; Bathyergidae
Rfam family: tRNA
About the family: Transfer RNA (tRNA) molecules are approximately 80 nucleotides in length. Their secondary structure includes four short double-helical elements and three loops (D, anti-codon, and T loops).
Source: Rfam by way of RNAcentral
GGGGAUUUAGCUUAGUGGUUCUAGCGCCUGCCUUGCAAGCAGGAGGACCUGAGUUCAAUCCCCA